Molecule: long non-coding RNA, 1515 nt
Filed under: Homo sapiens (human)
Lineage: Eukaryota; Metazoa; Chordata; Mammalia; Primates; Hominidae
Description: HSALNT0325436
Source: RNAcentral
AAGGGAGGAACUGGAUAAAUCUAAGAACUGCACAAUGUUAACUCACAAAGAAGAAUUAAAAACAGAAGACGUUUUCCUACGUAACAAACCUGCACAUCCUGCACAUGUAUCCUGGAACUUAAAAUAAAAUAAAAUAAAAUUUUUAAAAAGAAUAAAUAAAUAGCAGCCUAGUCCAAAGACGUUUACAUCCUGGAAGAGAACUUGCUGGCUUUUCACCUCAGCAUGUAUGGGCCAAACUAAUAUAACAAGAAGUCUUGAGAGGAGUCAGCGGCCAAGCUCCAUGUCUUGCAGCCAAACAAUGCUGUGGGAUGGAAGGUGGGAUGUCAUGUGUCUGGUUUACAGCACUCACGUAUCAGUUGGCAGUUAACGGAAGUGCUACUGAUUGUAACAGUGGAAGCAAUUUGAAAUGAAAUACAACACUUAAAGCAAAUGAAACGGAAGUGAAUGCCAGCAGUAAAUGGCAAGAAGAAAUCCAGUUCAGUGUGUUCCUCAGAAAUCUUGCCUCUUGGGACUAAAUGCUGCAAAUGUAACUCUUAUCCUUGUUUUUCAAGUUUUACCAUCUCAAAGCUAUCCACUUUAUAUUAAAUUAGUUCUGUUAUAUUAUGUCAAUUUGUAUUCUUAAGAGCACAAGUUUGGCCUCAAAUAGACCUGAGCUGAGAUCCAAUUCUUUAAUUUAUCUGUGUUGUUUUCUUUUUCCUUAGCUUUAAAGUGGAAAAAAUGCUACUUACAUUUUAUUUAUGAAGGUUAAAGAUAAAGUGUCUGAUAUGGGACCUAUCAUAUGUGGUAGGCACUUAGUACAUGGUAGCAAUUAUGAUUAUUAUAUCUGAUAUUAGCAUUAUUAUUAUGAUUUGUUUUAAUCUUCAAAGUAUCAACUGUUUCUAUUACAUUUGUGGUAAAUACUCCUAAACAGAGUUUUUAAGUUCAAGUGUCCAAAGUUGUUAGAAACAAAGAUAUUUGACAAUAACAUAAUCAUAUCACAUGACCUCAUGAUUUAACCACCUCCCAAAGUUGCCACCUCCUAAUAUUAUCACCUUGGGGGUGAGGUUUCAACAUAUGAAUUUUAGAGGAACAUAAACAUUCAGACCAUAGCAAUAAUGAAGAUAAAGAGUUUAUUCAUAGAUAAAUGUUAAGAAGUAGAUACUGUUUGUUAGGAGAAGUGUCCACAGUUAGGGAGAAGUUAGAGGUCUGGUGUCAUCUUUGAUUUUUGUGUUUCUUCCGGAACCCUGUUGCCUGGCUUCCUACACUAUUUCUUGUGUCUUUUUCUUGUAGCUAAACUUGAACAUUUUUUCCUUGAGUACCAUUUUACAAUCAACUGUGCUUUUAUGCAGUGGACUUUCACUGAAUGUCCCCUAUUGGAAAUUUUAACAACAAUUUAACAACUAUUUAUUUGAUACUUUCUGUAUAACCAAUAUUAUUGAACAUCCUAGGAACACAUACAUAAAUAAAACUUGAUCUCUGCUUUCAGAAAAGUUGAUCUAUUUGGAAAGAUAUCAAGAAAAUAAACAACCUCAACAU